Molecule: ribosomal RNA, 453 nt
Filed under: uncultured bacterium
Lineage: Bacteria
Description: bacterial SSU rRNA
Rfam family: Bacterial small subunit ribosomal RNA
Source: RNAcentral
UACGGAAGGCAGCAGUGGGGAAUAUUGCACAAUGGGCGCAAGCCUGAUGCAGCCAUGCCGCGUGUAUGAAGAAGGCCUUCGGGUUGUAAAGUACUUUCAGCGGGGAGGAAGGCGAUGUGGUUAAUAACCGCGUCGAUUGACGUUACCCGCAGAAGAAGCACCGGCUAACUCCGUGCCAGCAGCCGCGGUAAUACGGAGGGUGCAAGCGUUAAUCGGAAUUACUGGGCGUAAAGCGCACGCAGGCGGUCUGUUAAGUCAGAUGUGAAAUCCCCGGGCUUAACCUGGGAACUGCAUUUUGAAACUGGCAGGCUUGAGUCUCGUAGAGGGGGUGAAUUCCAGGUGUAGCGGUGAAAUGCGUAGAGAUCUGGAGGAAUACCGGUGGCGAAGGCGGCCCCUGGGACGAAGACUGACGCUCAGGUGCGAAAGCGUGGGGAGCAAACAGGAUUAGAUACC